Molecule: transfer RNA, 87 nt
Filed under: Pseudocodium devriesii
Lineage: Eukaryota; Viridiplantae; Chlorophyta; Ulvophyceae; Bryopsidales; Halimedaceae
Description: tRNA-Leu
Rfam family: tRNA
About the family: Transfer RNA (tRNA) molecules are approximately 80 nucleotides in length. Their secondary structure includes four short double-helical elements and three loops (D, anti-codon, and T loops). Further hydrogen bonds mediate the characteristic L-shaped molecular structure. tRNAs have two regions of fundamental functional importance: the anti-codon, which is responsible for specific mRNA codon recognition, and the 3' end, to which the tRNAs corresponding amino acid is attached (by aminoacyl-tRNA synthetases). tRNAs cope with the degeneracy of the genetic code in two manners: having more than one tRNA (with a specific anti-codon) for a particular amino acid; and 'wobble' base-pairing, i.e. permitting non-standard base-pairing at the 3rd anti-codon position.
Source: RNAcentral
UGCCUUGAUGGUGAAAUGGUAGACACAAUUGAUUCAAAAUCAAUCACUUCAAAGGAAGUGUGGAGGUUCGAGUCCUCUUUAAGGCAA